AGUCAUGAUGCUUGUCCGUGUUCCUCCUAAACUUGUUGGGGAAAAGAGUGCAUUUGUUGAUGUAGGCGAAAGUGCAAACUUGUGUGAAAGCUAGAACAACCGUAGAAGAUAUGCUUUCACACGCAGUCAUGUGUGCGAUCUUGAUGACAUGUAACGGAAUAUUAUGCCUGGAGGUCGAAAAUAAUCGUUCUCAAAAAUCUGCCGAGCAACGGAGCUACGUGCCUCCAAUACGUGUCCCAAAGCCAUCUGACACUAUUGACUUCGCUGGAACAAUUUUCGACCAAUUUCCAUUUUGCGACCACAAAACUCACCAUGCAAUCUAUUACGUAGCCCAUAUGUGAGUCUCAAGAAUCUUCUAAUAAAAUUUGACAGUUGUGUAUGACAAAAUAAAGGCCAGGCCAAGACUUUUCGUGUUCUCGGAAAUGAAAGCUUUCA
Molecule: non-coding RNA, 435 nt
Organism: Dermacentor albipictus
Lineage: Eukaryota; Metazoa; Arthropoda; Arachnida; Ixodida; Ixodidae
Source: RefSeq, a predicted model, not a curated record